This is a long non-coding RNA of Drosophila eugracilis, 2556 nucleotides long. RefSeq lists it as uncharacterized. The transcript has 2 exons. The record is from RefSeq and is a predicted model, not a curated record. NCBI's taxonomy places the organism in Eukaryota, Metazoa, Arthropoda, Insecta, Diptera, Drosophilidae.
UUCCUUUUUUUGUUAUUUUAUGUUAUAUCUUUUGUUAAAAUAUUAAAUAAGUACAUGAUAACCAAUUACUUUUAAGCAUUGAUAAAUUUAAGAAUUUGAAACAAAGAACUGAUUGAAUUGAAAUGUGAAAUGAAAACUUAGAACUUAAUGUCGACGGUCAAAACAUUGUUAUCGAUAGUUAAGUCAGUAUUAAUAGGAAAUUUAGUAUUUUUUAAGUUAUCCGCUUUUUGGCCCAUUGAAGUACGGGCUUAUUAAUCGCGGUUAUGUGAAUGCCGCCGAAAAGUGCCUUUUCACUGUCUUGUGAAUAGUAGGAGGGCACACUGCGGUAAGAAGAAGAGCUAUAUUUGUAUUGUAAACUAAUUUAAUGAAUUUACAGAAUAAAACGUUCCGUACGCCAUAGCCAUAGUCCUUUGAAGUUCACCUUUCUCUGGACCUACGCGUGGGGGGAGCCGUUUAAGGCAACUCCGCACUUCACAAGACGACAUCUUUUAUUCGCAGUCCUAGGGAGACUGCAAGGGCAACUUGCGCUGGAAGACGGCUUGACGACCAGCUAGAGAGUUGCCAGGAGCGCACGGAGCGCAUUUCCCGUACCAGCAGAGGAGUCGCAGCCAGCGACAUAGACGGCGCAAGGAGCGCCAAACACUGAGUACGGACGCAGUCGCAGGCAGCGACACGGAGACGCAGCCGGCGUCAGUUCAGGAGACGCAGCCAGCGUCAGGUUAGGAAGCGCAAGGAGCGCCAAGCACCAGCGGUCAGGAGGCUCAAGGACCGCCGAGCAUCAGCGGCAGCAGCCAGUCGGCACAGGUCCGCCAUUUUGGAGCGCUAGGGCAGCGCCAUAUUUGGACCAUAUUUAUUUGGAGAUGCAGCAUUCCCCCAGGAGUUCCCGGCUGAACGGAGGGGAAGCCACCCCUACAACAACGCAGCAGCCAGCGAGUAGUGCAGCAGAAAACCGGCCAAGGGUUAACAUAACCACGGCGGCGGCCAUUUCUCGCCCAGCCACUACAGCGACUACAGUAGCGUCCCAACCAAGGAGUACUCUAACAGCAGCUGCGAGCUCAGAGCCGGAGCCAGCCACCCACGGCGUACCUUUUGGAUAGGAUCACGGCGUUCGAGAAUGAGCUGAAGCAGGUUAGAGCCGUGAACACAACGAACACCGCUGAACUGCGUGCGAGAGGUGUCGCCGAUUACGGAGCAGAACCUGUCGGCGAAGGCGAAGCAACAUCUGGGAAACCCCACCCUCAUGGAGGAGCUUGUGCAAAGCUUCCCACCAGCCCAGCAAACGAGUGGAUUGGGCCAGGCACGCUGCAUCGAUCGAGCCCUUUCCCACUGUAGAGCACUUCAGCGUGUGUCUACAGGAGUACGCAAACAUCGUGUGUACCAUUUUGGGCGUCGACGGAAGGGAGCCGAGGCGUCGAGUUCUACACGCGAGCGUCGACCAGGACGGAUACGAGCAGCGGGAUGACCGGCAUAGAGGUUGUCCAAUUUGUGGAGGGCAACAUGCUACGACGAACUGCAGGGAGUUCAUCGGAGCUGGUUUGAUAAAAUAUCUAAUUACGUCCGUAAGUUCGUUGACAACUGUAUUACCUGUAGGUUAUCUAGUCCGGCUAUGAUGAACCAGCUAAAAAAAGGCCCAAACGGAUGAGGGAACUCCCAAGGGAAAACCAAAAUCCUCAUACAAAAUGUGUACACCAGGAACUCUUGCUUUUUAGGCUUAAACAACAAGGUGUCUUGUUUUGCUACAGAAAUCGGAACGUGUCAAAACACUCCCUGAAAUGCUCAAUGUGUCAGAGCUAAAAAUAUAUCGAGACGUAUGUAGUCUCCUUCAACCUUUCAAAAUAUCAACAGAGCAAAUAAGUGGGGAAAAUUACGUAACUGUAAGUUUAGUAAUACCACUUAUUUUAAUGUUAGCAGCCAAAAUUAAAACAUUGCAAAUGGAGACGAAGGAAGGAAAACGAGCUAAGGCGCUCAUAAAAAUUUCUGAAAGAAGGUUUCAGGCUUUACAGAAUAAUGAAAUUUUGGUUAAAUCAACAUUAUUAGACCCUAGGUUUAAAAAAAUGUAUUUGGCGCCUUUAACGGUAAAGGAUGCCAUUGCUGAUUGUCGCGAAACGGAUUAGGCUAUCGAUAGUCAGGAUUUUUAUGAAGUCUAGUAUUUAGUUUAGGUUUUGGUCGCACUAAAAUCGGGUAAAAAGGAAUACAAUAUUUGGCGGAUAAAACACAUCGAUUUGCGCCAUCACAGAAAGGGGAAGAGAAACUGCGGUAUGGAGGAUAAGUAAUUAUGUAUCAGGUUAAGAACAAUUGUCUUUUAGAAUAAAACGCUCGUUACACAUCACUUCAACAAUAGUCCUAUUUGCGAGUGUUAUAAGGCAUUCCCGUGAUUGGCCAAGCGGUGACACUGAUAUUACUCUUGAGAUCAAUAAAUGUACUCUUAAGGGAAGGGUAUGUGAUCAAGUUAAAACUUUGUUUACUUCAAUAAGUAAUUGAUUAAUCAGUAAAACUAAUAGGCUUAAUAUUAUAACAUCUAAAUUUUGCUAAUAAUAAUAAAAACACAUUCUUGAA